Molecule: ribosomal RNA, 468 nt
Filed under: uncultured bacterium
Lineage: Bacteria
Description: bacterial SSU rRNA
Rfam family: Bacterial small subunit ribosomal RNA
Source: RNAcentral
GAGCGAGAAAGGGACUUCGGUCCUGAGUAAAGCGGCGCACGGGUGCGUAACACGUGGGUAAUCUUCCUCCGGGUUGGGAAUAACUCUUCGAAAGGAGAGCUAAUACCGAAUAAGCCCACGUCUCCUUCGGGAGAUGAGGGAAAAGGUGGCCUCUGCAUGCAAGCUAUCGCCUGGAGAUGAGCCCGCGGCCCAUCAUGCUAGUUGGCGGGGUAACGGCCCACCAAGGCUACGACGGGUAGCUGGUCUGAGAGGACGAUCAGCCACACUGGAACUGAGACACGGUCCAGACUCCUACGGGAGGCAGCAGUGGGGAAUCUUGCGCAAUGGGCGAAAGCCUGACGCAGCAACGCCGCGUGAGUGAUGAAGGCCUUCGGGUCGUAAAGCCCUGUCGGAGGGGACAAAGCUUAUUUCGUCUAACAGAUGGAGUAGGUGAUGGUACCUUCAAAGGAAGCACCGGCUAACUCUGUG